Y RNA from Ailuropoda melanoleuca (giant panda), 100 nucleotides. It matches the Rfam family "Y RNA". Rfam says of the family: Y RNAs are components of the Ro ribonucleoprotein particle (Ro RNP), in association with Ro60 and La proteins. The record is from Ensembl. NCBI's taxonomy places the organism in Eukaryota, Metazoa, Chordata, Mammalia, Carnivora, Ursidae.
AGCUGGCCUGAGUGCAGUGGCAUUUACAACUCAUUGAUCACAGCCAGUUAGAGUUCUCUGUUCCUUCUCCACAUCCACUGUUUUAUUUGGCUACCCUUAA